This 503-nucleotide ribosomal RNA is filed under the name uncultured bacterium. RNAcentral describes it as "partial 16S ribosomal RNA". It matches the Rfam family "Bacterial small subunit ribosomal RNA", at positions 30 to 523 of the family's 1533-position model. The record is from RNAcentral.
AUUGAACGCUGGCGGCAGGCUUAACACAUGCAAGUCGAGCGGGGUGAUGGUGCUUGCACUAUCACUUAGCGGCGGACGGGUGAGUAAUGCUUAGGAAUCUGCCUAUUAGUGGGGGACAACAUCUCGAAAGGGAUGCUAAUACCGCAUACGUCCUACGGGAGAAAGCAGGGGAUCACUUGUGACCUUGCGCUAAUAGAUGAGCCUAAGUCGGAUUAGCUAGUUGGUGGGGUAAAGGCCUACCAAGGCGACGAUCUGUAGCGGGUCUGAGAGGAUGAUCCGCCACACUGGGACGUAGACACGGCCCAGACUCCUACGGGAGGCAGCAGUGGGGAAUAUUGGACAAUGGGGGGAACCCUGAUCCAGCCAUGCCGCGUGUGUGAAGAAGGCCUUAUGGUUGUAAAGCACUUUAAGCGAGGAGGAGGCUCUUUUGGUUAAUACCCAAGAUGAGUGGACGUUACUCGCAGAAUAAGCACCGGCUAACUCUGUGCCAGCAGCCGCGGUAA